This 872-nucleotide ribosomal RNA is filed under the name Arthrobacter tecti. RNAcentral's name for it is "bacterial SSU rRNA". It matches the Rfam family "Bacterial small subunit ribosomal RNA", at positions 418 to 1300 of the family's 1533-position model. Lineage: Bacteria; Bacillati; Actinomycetota; Actinomycetes; Micrococcales; Micrococcaceae. The record is from RNAcentral.
UCGGGUUGUAAACCUCUUUCAGUAGGGAAGAAGCGAAAGUGACGGUACCUGCAGAAGAAGCGCCGGCUAACUACGUGCCAGCAGCCGCGGUAAUACGUAGGGCGCAAGCGUUAUCCGGAAUUAUUGGGCGUAAAAGAGCUCGUAGGCGGUUUGUCGCGUCUGCCGUGAAAGUCCGGGGCUUAACUCCGGAUCUGCGGUGGGUACGGGCAGACUUGAGUGAUGUAGGGGAGACUGGAAUUCCUGGUGUAGCGGUGAAAUGCGCAGAUAUCAGGAGGAACACCGAUGGCGAAGGCAGGUCUCUGGGCAUUAACUGACGCUGAGGAGCGAAAGCAUGGGGAGCGAACAGGAUUAGAUACCCUGGUAGUCCAUGCCGUAAACGUUGGGCACUAGGUGUGGGGGACAUUCCACGUUUUCCGCGCCGUAGCUAACGCAUUAAGUGCCCCGCCUGGGGAGUACGGCCGCAAGGCUAAAACUCAAAGGAAUUGACGGGGGCCCGCACAAGCGGCGGAGCAUGCGGAUUAAUUCGAUGCAACGCGAAGAACCUUACCAAGGCUUGACAUGAACCGGAACGGCGCAGAGAUGUGUCGGCCACUUGUGGCCGGUUUACAGGUGGUGCAUGGUUGUCGUCAGCUCGUGUCGUGAGAUGUUGGGUUAAGUCCCGCAACGAGCGCAACCCUCGUUCCAUGUUGCCAGCGGGUUAUGCCGGGGACUCAUGGGAGACUGCCGGGGUCAACUCGGAGGAAGGUGGGGACGACGUCAAAUCAUCAUGCCCCUUAUGUCUUGGGCUUCACGCAUGCUACAAUGGCCGGUACAAAGGGUUGCGAUGCUGUGAGGUGGAGAUAAUCCCAAAAAGCUGGUCUCAGUUCGGAUUG